This 240-nucleotide unclassified non-coding RNA is filed under the name soil metagenome. RNAcentral describes it as "partial contains 5.8S ribosomal RNA, internal transcribed spacer 2, and large subunit ribosomal RNA". The record is from RNAcentral.
AACCUAGCACACCUGCGGUGUGUACCUGCGGAGGGAUCAUUACUGAGUGUAAAAACUCCCAAACCCAUUGUGAACAUACCACUGUUGCUUCGGCGGAUACGCCCCGGGCGCGCUCUUCACAGGGCGUGCCCCGGAACCAGGCGCCCGCCGGGGGACCGAAACUCUUGUUUUCUUAGGAUCUCUGAGUGUGAUUAUUAAAUAAAUCAAAACUUUUAACAACGGAUCUCAGAUCGGAAGAGC